Molecule: non-coding RNA, 114 nt
Organism: Thelazia callipaeda (thelaziosis nematode)
Lineage: Eukaryota; Metazoa; Nematoda; Chromadorea; Rhabditida; Thelaziidae
Source: Rfam
GUAAAAAAUCAGUUUUAGGUUCCUAAGACUUAUUUGGGCAUGUUAGUUGGUUCAAUUUGCGCUCUAAUGGGAGUACUGACCAUAGCACUACCUGUACCAGUUAUAGUCUCUAAC